AUGGAGAAGGUAGAAGGGCUGCUAAAGAACCUAAAGUUGUCGGAGGCGGAGAGGAAGGGAGUGCGGAUCGGAAGGGCGGCAGGGGGUAGAUCCAGGGAAGUGGAGACACAGGCGUUAGGGAAGGUGUUCUUGGAGAAGCCGGUGUAUGUGGAGGGGAUGAUCAAGUCUCUGAGUAGGGUUUGGUGUCCGCUAAAAGGGUUGAAGUGCAAGGAGAUGGAAGACAAUAUUUUUCUGUUCACCUUUUUGCAGGUGGCGGGGAAGAGAAAGGCAUUGGAAGAUGGCCCGUGGAUGGUGGGGAAGGAGUUGAUUGUCAUGGAGGAUUUUGAUCCAAUUAAAACUGUGGAGGACUAUGAAUUCAAGAUCAUACCGAUUUGGGUGAGGGUAACUAGGCUGCCUCUGGGUUAUCUGAAUCAAGAGAGUGGGGAAAUCCUAGAUGAGCAAAUUGGGGAAGUGAUGGAAGUGGACGUAGGGGAAGGAGGUGGGCAAUCUGGAAGUUUUAUCCGAGUUAAGGUCAAGCUAGACAUCACCCGACCACUAUUGAGAGCUAUUACAGUGGACAUCUCUGAAGAGAAGGAGGAUAUGGGGAAGAUGAACAUGGUCGUGAAACUGAGAAGCUGUUUAGUUUCCAGAUGUUCUUACAGCAACCAUGUACUCCCUCCGUUCCAAAAUAGUGUUGGGGAACGUUGCACAAAACAAAAAUUUUCCUACUCGUUUCACCAAGAUCAUCUAGGAGUUCAUCUAGCAACGAGUCAUUGGAUGCAUCUACAUACCUUUGUAGAUCGCGAGCGGAAGCGUUCAAAAGAACGGUGA
RNAcentral lists this ribosomal RNA (810 nucleotides) under Triticum aestivum (bread wheat). RNAcentral describes it as "partial small subunit ribosomal RNA". The record is from RNAcentral. Lineage: Eukaryota; Viridiplantae; Streptophyta; Magnoliopsida; Poales; Poaceae.